UCCCAGCUGGCUCAGUGAUAAAAGAACUUGCCUGCCAAUGCAGGAGACACAGAAGACUCAGGUUCAAUUCCUGAGUUAGGAA
Molecule: transfer RNA, 82 nt
Filed under: Bos taurus (domestic cattle)
Lineage: Eukaryota; Metazoa; Chordata; Mammalia; Artiodactyla; Bovidae
Also listed under: 4 other names
Rfam family: tRNA
About the family: Transfer RNA (tRNA) molecules are approximately 80 nucleotides in length.
Source: Rfam by way of RNAcentral